GCCUGGCUGGCACAGUUGAUAGAGCAUGUCACUCUUGAUGUCAGGGUUGUGAGUUCAAACCCCACACUGGGUG
Molecule: transfer RNA, 73 nt
Filed under: Ursus americanus (American black bear)
Lineage: Eukaryota; Metazoa; Chordata; Mammalia; Carnivora; Ursidae
Also listed under: 2 other names
Rfam family: tRNA
About the family: Transfer RNA (tRNA) molecules are approximately 80 nucleotides in length. Their secondary structure includes four short double-helical elements and three loops (D, anti-codon, and T loops). Further hydrogen bonds mediate the characteristic L-shaped molecular structure. tRNAs have two regions of fundamental functional importance: the anti-codon, which is responsible for specific mRNA codon recognition, and the 3' end, to which the tRNAs corresponding amino acid is attached (by aminoacyl-tRNA synthetases). tRNAs cope with the degeneracy of the genetic code in two manners: having more than one tRNA (with a specific anti-codon) for a particular amino acid; and 'wobble' base-pairing, i.e. permitting non-standard base-pairing at the 3rd anti-codon position.
Source: Rfam by way of RNAcentral